Molecule: ribosomal RNA, 436 nt
Filed under: Enterococcus lactis
Lineage: Bacteria; Bacillati; Bacillota; Bacilli; Lactobacillales; Enterococcaceae
Description: partial 23S ribosomal RNA
Rfam family: Bacterial large subunit ribosomal RNA
Source: RNAcentral
GGUUAAGUGAAUAAGGGCGCACGGUGGAUGCCUUGGCACUAGGAGCCGAUGAAGGACGGGACUAACACCGAUAUGCUUUGGGGAGCUGUACGUAAGCUAUGAUCCAGAGAUUUCCGAAUGGGGGAACCCAGCAUCUUUAAUAGGAUGUUACGAUUGUGUGAAUACAUAGCACAUUCGAGGUAGACGCAGAGAACUGAAACAUCUAAGUACCUGCAGGAAGAGAAAGAAAAUUCGAUUCCCUGAGUAGCGGCGAGCGAAACGGGAAAAGCCCAAACCAACAAGCUUGCUUGUUGGGGUUGUAGGACUCCAAUAUGGUAGUUCUUUCAGAUAGUCGAAUGACUUGGAAAAGUCAGUCAAAGAGGGUAAAAACCCCGUAGACGAAAUGUGGAAGACACCUAGGAGGAUCCUGAGUACGGCGGAACACGAGAAAUUCCGU